RNAcentral lists this ribosomal RNA (464 nucleotides) under uncultured bacterium. RNAcentral describes it as "partial 16S ribosomal RNA". It matches the Rfam family "Bacterial small subunit ribosomal RNA", at positions 29 to 507 of the family's 1533-position model. The record is from RNAcentral.
ACGCACGCUGGCGGCGUGCUUCACACAUGCCAGUCGAACGGAAAGGCCCUGCUUGCAGGGUACUCGAGUGGCGAACGGGUGAGUAACACGUGGGUGAUCUGCCCUGCACUUCGGGAUAAGCCUGGGAAACUGGGUCUAAUACCGGAUAGGAGCCAUUUUUAGUGUGAUGGUUGGAAAGUUUUUUCGGUGUAGGAUGAGCCCGCGGCCUAUCAGCUUGUUGGUGGGGUAAUGGCCUACCAAGGCGGCGACGGGUAGCCGGCCUGAGAGGGUGGACGGCCACAUUGGGACUGAGAUACGGCCCAGACUCCUACGGGAGGCAGCAGUGGGGAAUAUUGCACAAUGGGCGCAAGCCUGAUGCAGCGACGCCGCGUGGGGGAUGACGGCCUUCGGGUUGUAAACUCCUUUCGCUAGGGACGAAGCUUUUUGUGACGGUACCUAGAUAAGAAGCACCGGCUAACUACGUG